Long non-coding RNA from Passer domesticus (house sparrow), 381 nucleotides. RefSeq lists it as uncharacterized. The transcript has 4 exons. NCBI's taxonomy places the organism in Eukaryota, Metazoa, Chordata, Aves, Passeriformes, Passeridae. The record is from RefSeq and is a predicted model, not a curated record.
CCUGCAAGCAUCUGCUUUGCCAAGCUGCUUGUCACGUCUGCUUGACUGUCUUGGGAGUCAGCAGAAUGAGCGGCUGCAUGAACAUCUGUGCCUAGACUGUCUCACGUAGCUCUCUGGAAAAAGUGAGAAGUUCCUCUCUACAGGUUCAGAGGGGGAGAAGCCUUUGAAUAUUAUCUCUGCAAACAGUGGGCAGAUGAUACUCCAGCCCAGAAUCAAGGAACACUCCCCAGUUCUUGAGAGGAUCAUUUGGGGUUAAUUUUGGGGGAGAAGCUUAGCCCUGCUGGGGGUGUUUUGGAUGCAGACAGUUUGCUGGGGUAACUGAGCUCUGAGGUAUUUAAUCCUCUCAUUGUAAAAUCAAACAAUAAAAAUCCUCAAAACGAA